Long non-coding RNA from Etheostoma spectabile (orangethroat darter), 123 nucleotides. RefSeq lists it as uncharacterized. The transcript is spliced from 3 exons. The record is from RefSeq and is a predicted model, not a curated record. NCBI's taxonomy places the organism in Eukaryota, Metazoa, Chordata, Actinopteri, Perciformes, Percidae.
AUAGCUUCUGUCCAUAUGUAGGGGAGAGCCAGGAAAGUUGAAACGCGGGACGGAUGAAACAUUCCACUUUUCUCCGAGUGCAAUAAUUAUAGACAGACUUCCUUAGGUCAACACAUAGAGCAU